This 515-nucleotide ribosomal RNA is filed under the name uncultured bacterium. RNAcentral's name for it is "bacterial SSU rRNA". It matches the Rfam family "Bacterial small subunit ribosomal RNA", at positions 28 to 518 of the family's 1533-position model. The record is from RNAcentral.
GACGAACGCUGGCGGCGUGCCUAACACAUGCAAGUCGAGCGGAGCCAACCGAACAAUCCCUUCGGGGAGCGUUUGGGGAAGCUUAGCGGCGGACGGGUGAGUAACGCGUGAGUAACCUGCCCAUUAGUGGGGAAUAACACAGAGAAAUUUGUGCUAAUACCGCAUACGGAAUAACCAAGGCAUCUUGGAAGUUUAAAAGAUUUAUCGCUAAUGGAUGGACUCGCGUCUGAUUAGAUAGUUGGUAGGGUAACGGCCUACCAAGUCAACGAUCAGUAGCCGAACUGAGAGGAUGAACGGCCACAUUGGGACUGAGACACGGCCCAGGCUCCUACGGGAGGCAGCAGUAGGGAAUCAUCGGCAAUGGGGGAAACCCUGACCGUGCAAUGCCGCGUGAGUGAUGAAGGCCUUCGGAUCGUAAAGUUCUGUUAUUAGAGAAGAACAAGUCAAGGAGUAACUGUCUUGACUUUGACGGUACCUAACCAGAAAGUCACGGCUAACUACGUGCCAGCAGCCGA